This is a non-coding RNA of Camelina sativa (false flax), 137 nucleotides long. The record is from RefSeq and is a predicted model, not a curated record. NCBI's taxonomy places the organism in Eukaryota, Viridiplantae, Streptophyta, Magnoliopsida, Brassicales, Brassicaceae.
GGGGAAACAGGUUUCAUUCUUGAUGGCUUUCCCCGCACUCAUAUUCAGGCCGAAACUCUUGAUCAAAUCGCUCAGAUUGACCUCGUUGUAAAUCUGAAAUCCUCUGAGGAGCCUCUGGUAAACCGAAAUGUUCUAAA